RNAcentral lists this long non-coding RNA (310 nucleotides) under Marmota monax (woodchuck). Lineage: Eukaryota; Metazoa; Chordata; Mammalia; Rodentia; Sciuridae. The record is from RNAcentral.
CAAUAUUUUACCAAGAAAGGGUACUAAAAAGCCUUUCUGAUUUUUAAUACAAUUCUCUAGUGAACUUUCUGUUCCCACCAUUAAAUCAGUCCUAACUAGAUCAACUGAAUUGUGCUGCAGUUCAUGUCAAGUUGUUCAGAGUAUUGUUUUCCACUUCCACUUGUGAAGUAGGUCUGAAAAAGUCUUGCCAAGUGCAUGCCUGUACUCCCAAGGACUCAGGAGGCUGAGGCAUGAAGAUCAUGAGUUCAAAGCCAGCUUCAGCAAUGGGGAGGCCUUAAGCAACUCAGUGAGACCCUGUCUCUAAAUAAAA